UUUGUUCAUUUCCCCCCCCCCUCAUACACACACACCUUUAUCAUCGAAUCUGCAUAGUUUUCUUGUACCCUUUAUCAACAUUGAUCGCUUGUUCCUUAUUUGUUAAUAAUUUAAUUAUUUUUUACAAUUCGUUGCAAAUGAAAAGUCUUUGAUUGCAUAUGUGUGUUUGUACUGACAAGUGCAUUUUAUUGUGAUUUAUAUAAUAUAUGAUACCUUAUUGAUAAAACUGUCUUUUGAUAUAUUCUCUGCUUAGUCUCUUCUAGAUGUGAAGAUAUAUUGGAUAAAAAAAAAAGUGUUUUUUUUACUUUCCUAUUUUGUGUAUUAUCUAGUAACCAGCCAUUUUUUUUUUUUUAUAAAAAGGAAAUAAUCUGUGUAUGUUUAUGCAUUUUGUUUUUUGUCACUUGAAAGUUUUCAUAGUCUUGUGUUAAAAAGAAAUUCUUUUAUGCAUAAUUAUUUAUGUGUUGAAAUGCGAUACAGCAUAAAAAUAAAUCCAUUUUUUUAAUACUGUGUACAGUAUGUGUAUGUACAUAUAUAUCUAUAAAUACGCUAUGGAAGUGUUAAUCUCUUUGUUGUUUUUUUAACUCUGUUUUAUUUUUUUUGUAGAGGGAAAUUUUAUUUAUGGGGAAACGUUUUUAUUUUCUUUUAUUUAUUGAUCAUUUUUUUAAAUCUUGCUUUUCAAUCUGUAAAAAAUACAUAUUAAUGAAUAAUUGUCUAAUAUUAGACAAAUAAUAAAUAUAUACAUAUAUAUAUCUAUACCUAUACAUAAGUUUUUAAGCAUAUUAUCUUUGUAUGUUUCUAUUCCCUUUUUCUAUAGCAUAUUAAGAUGUAUAGCGUUUUUGUAUGUGUGUUCUCUCUCUGUCUCUCUCCUUUCUUGGAACUAUUGUGAUUUCAACAUUCCAAUUUUCAACAUGUUGAUGCUUGCAUUGUACUGUGGUUUUCAACAAGUUGAUGCUUGUGUUGUUUUAUUUCCUCUUUGUAAAAUAUUCAUUAUUCAGGAAUGAUGAGAAGACACAAACAUCGAUUGCCCCUGAGGGGAUUUUCUUAUGCCAGAAAUGUUUUUUUCUUUUGGUAGCUGACAAGCCAGGGCUAUCUUUCUUGCCUUAACAAUGUCACUUCUAAAGCUUAUAGAAAGGAAAAAGUCUAGAAUCUCCAAACUGGAUUAGGUAUAGAUUGAAUUAAUCAUUGGCUGAAGUUACAACCCUUCAGGUUAUCUGGCCAAUAAUUUGAUGUGAAGCACUCUUUUAGAAUGACUCUCAGUGAAUCCAUCAAACGUUUAUAUCUAGCAAUUAGAACUGAAUGUUUAAGAAUUUAUUUUUGUUUCUAACAAUCCAAUCAUCAAAAUGAUUUUUUUUCUAAUUUAAUGAUGAAAUUCCAGUUUAUUUUUUCUGUAAUAUAAAUGGGAGACAGCCAUACGAGUUCUGUUUAUAAAUGGGCGACAACCUACCAAAAAUAUUGCCACUCAACUAAAUGGUAAAAAAACAUAUAAAUAUCAUUUAUAAAUGGGAGACAGCCUAGCAAAUAAAAGUUGGAGUGAAAAGUGAUCCAAACAUAUUGCCAAUGAAAUAAACAGCACACAUGAAGAAUUGAGGGUAACACUUAGGUACAGCUCGAUAGAAUGUAUUCUAAUCACUAAGUGCUUUCUUAACAUGACUUUUAAAUUAAAAAUACAAAUUCUCCCCCUUUUCCCUUUCAGCUUUGUGGUUUCUCAUUUUCAUAGCUGUCUGAAGCUAAAUAGCAAGUCUAAUAGGUCAAUGUAUGUAGUUGCAAUCUAUUUCAUUCAUCCUUUGAUGCUAAUGCCAUUACUUUCUUGUUAUAUAACAUUUGUAGAUUUAUCUCCCUUUACUUAUGUAGAAGAAAUUUGUUUUCAAUUAUUUAAUCAAAACAAGAAAAAAAAAAAGUUCAGGUUUCAAAAAAAAAAAAAAAAA
Non-coding RNA from Biomphalaria pfeifferi, 1925 nucleotides. Lineage: Eukaryota; Metazoa; Mollusca; Gastropoda; Planorbidae. The record is from the annotation of a GenBank genome assembly.